Molecule: ribosomal RNA, 504 nt
Filed under: uncultured bacterium
Lineage: Bacteria
Description: bacterial SSU rRNA
Rfam family: Bacterial small subunit ribosomal RNA
Source: RNAcentral
AAUAACUGGCGGCAGGCUUACACAUGCAAGUCCCAACGGUAGCAGGAAGAAGCUUGCUUCUUUGCUGACGAGUGGCGGACGGGUGAGUAAUGCUUGGGAAUCUGGCUUAUGGAGGGGGAUAACUACUGGAAACGGUAGCUAAUACCGCGUAAUGUCUUAGGACUAAAGGGUGGGACCGUAAGGCCACCUGCCAUAAGAUGAGCCCAAGUGGGAUUAGGUAGUUGGUGAGGUAAAGGCUCACCAAGCCCGCGAUCUCUAGCUGGUCUGAGAGGAUGACCAGCCACACUGGAACUGAGACACGGUCCAGACUCCUACGGGAGGCAGCAGUGGGGAAUAUUGCACAAUGGGGGGAACCCUGAUGCAGCCAUGCCGCGUGAAUGAAGAAGGCCUUCGGGUUGUAAAGUUCUUUCGGUGACGAGGAAGGCGAUUGUUUUAAUAGAACAGUCGAUUGACGUUAAUCACAGAAGAAGCACCGGCUAACUCCGUGCCAGCAGCCGCGGUAAU